Molecule: small RNA, 53 nt
Filed under: chicken gut metagenome
Description: Streptococcus sRNA SpF59 (ldcC RNA)
Rfam family: Streptococcus sRNA SpF59 (ldcC RNA)
Source: RNAcentral
GACCACUUCACGAUAGAAGUUAAGGCCAUACGGACAGCCGGGUCCACUGCCGA